Long non-coding RNA from Gossypium arboreum, 1114 nucleotides. RefSeq lists it as uncharacterized. The transcript has 3 exons. The record is from RefSeq and is a predicted model, not a curated record. Lineage: Eukaryota; Viridiplantae; Streptophyta; Magnoliopsida; Malvales; Malvaceae.
AACUAAAAAAAUAACAAAAGAAAAAGGAAACCCUAACACAAUAUCUAGUCAAACGUGACAGCUGGAUUCCAUUCUUCAUCAAAACAUUUCUGCAUUUGUCGUUCCAACAACCAAAAAGAUAGCAGUUUCCAAAAAUCUCAUCCCUUCUACUAUCAUUUCCUUUGUGCGAACCUUCUCGAAACCAUUAUAAAUCUGGAUGUUUAGUCCUUCUCCUCUCCAUUUCUCAGUGAACAUAGUUAGGCACCCCUCCUACCAGGUACUGUUCCCCUCUACUUUUCAACUCUUUGUGUGCUAAUGCGUGGGCGAGCUUAAUCGCCGAUCCGGGUAUGAACUGGAAAGAGAUCUCCUGAAAGUGUUAUUUUUUCCCUUGAAUAUCUCUAAUUAUAACCCCAAUUACUGAUUUAUCUAGAUUUGUAGAGUUACAGUUCUUGAUUAUCGUUCUUGAAUCUCAUUCUAUUAUUAUUGAGUUAAUAUCCAUAAAAAACUCCAAACUGAAUGGCUUGUAACUCUGUAUGUGCUUCUGCUUCUGCUGCAAAUGGAGAGGGCACUGCAUGGUGAAUGACAGUUUUCGAAACCAAAAUCCCACCCUUGAAUCCCUAACAACAAAACCCGAGGAGGAGCUAGAGGAAUGACUGUCGAAUGAGGCAUCGAAAUUUAUUUUCACCCUCAUACCAAACGAGGAUUUCCAUUGUUCAUCAACAACUUUAUGGAUCGACCGUAAACCACAGCAAAACAACCUACACUGUUCGUAAGUCUCCAAUUUAAAGAUUUAGGACAACUUUGAAAGAUGUGAUUCCUAUCCUUCUCUAAUCCACGGGAUCUAGGGCAAGAUAUUGCCACUACCACUCUUUUUUGGUUGAGAUUAGUUAGUGUAGAAAUGUAAUUUUAGGAAAUCUUUCGCACUGUAAUUUUGAUUUUUGGGGGAAUUUGUAAAUUCCAUAAUUUCCUAUAGAAUUCUCGGUCUAUAAUAAAUUGUCACUAAGAUCAAAAUUACCCUAUUGUAAUAGUUUAUAGGCACUUUUGACGGUGAAUUCUCCGGAAGACUCACCUUGCCAAAUUUGAAUAUCUUCAUGAACUGCCUGUGCUAAUGAGAUCUGCAGAAUUUUUCUUGCGA